This 271-nucleotide ribosomal RNA is filed under the name uncultured Pseudomonas sp. Its description in RNAcentral is "partial 16S ribosomal RNA". It matches the Rfam family "Bacterial small subunit ribosomal RNA", at positions 1113 to 1382 of the family's 1533-position model. Lineage: Bacteria; Pseudomonadati; Pseudomonadota; Gammaproteobacteria; Pseudomonadales; Pseudomonadaceae. The record is from RNAcentral.
AGUUACCAGCACGUUAUGGUGGGCACUCUAAGGAGACGUGCCGGUGACAAACCGGAGGAAGGUGGGGAUGACGUCAAGUCAUCAUGGCCCUUACGGCCUGGGCUACACACGUGCUACAAUGGUCGGUACAAAGGGUUGCCAAGCCGCGAGGUGGAGCUAAUCCCAUAAAACCGAUCGUAGUCCGGAUCGCAGUCUGCAACUCGACUGCGUGAAGUCGGAAUCGCUAGUAAUCGUGAAUCAGAAUGUCACGGUGAAUACGUUCCCGGGCCUU